Long non-coding RNA from Ostrinia nubilalis (European corn borer), 894 nucleotides. RefSeq lists it as uncharacterized. Lineage: Eukaryota; Metazoa; Arthropoda; Insecta; Lepidoptera; Crambidae. The record is from RefSeq and is a predicted model, not a curated record. The transcript has 4 exons.
UGUUUUAAGUAUUGAACCACACAAAGGAUUAAAUCUUCAUUACAAAAUCAUUCAUAACUCCAUUUAAAUCAAUGGAAACCAAAUAUGGAUAGUUUCAUGGAGUAACAACAUACUUUGGAUUUUGGACAUAAAAUACAAUACAAGUUAAUAUCGAACUUCGAACUUAUAAAGUGUUAAGCAGCAAUUACAAUAAAAGUGCUUGCUGUGGAAUCACUGGUGCUGCUCAUUAUUGUCAACUGUUACUUAAAAAGGUUAUGCCAUGCAUUAAAUUAGGAAGAUUUGUGUUGGAUGAAUUACCCAGAUAACAAUUAAAACAACUUCUAUUUAUAAGAACAUUCGAUUGGUGGAAUCGCAGAUUCUGUGAAUAUACAGGGUGUCCCAAAAACAAUGGAUAACCCUGUAACCAUCGAUAGGCCUCGCCAUGGUCUCCCUAACGUCCAAUUUUGACCCCAGUAAAAAUAUCACCGUUUUCAAGAUUUUUAAGUUUUUGUGCAUUUUUAGAAAAUUGCCACCUGCGAUUACUUUUUCUCAUGCCAUUUCUACAAAUGAGGAUACUUUUCAAUCUAGUUUUUUUCCUUAUCACAAGGGAUAGUUAAGCUAUCAAAAGAAAAGAUUAAAGUUCAACAAACUAGUUUAAAAGUAUGAAAAUUUUAAGAAAUUGCAGAGAAGAAGGAAAAAUUAAUUCAUUGUCUUGCACUUUUGAUCAGCCGUCGUGUAAAAAAAAUGUAGGAAGACCAUCGUGCCCAUUACCUUAAAAACUUUCUUGGUUAAUUGAGAUUCUAAAAAGGUAUCACAAGCCUAUGUAUUCUGUAUUAUUUUUAUCUUAUGGCUACUUGAAUAGCAACUAGUAUGAAAACUGCAAAAAUGAGUUUUUCUCGUAAUAGUUAAACUAAG